AACCCUUUGUGACUUAUACCUAUUGUUGCCUCGGCGAAGGCCGGCCUCUCUUCUGAGGCCCCCCGGAAACGGGGAGCAGCCCGCCGGCGGCCAACCAAACUCUUGUUUCUUAGUGAAUCUCUGAGUAAAAAACAUAAAUGAAUCAAAACUUUCAACAACGGAUCUCUUGGUUCUGGCAUCGAUGAAGAACGCAGCGAAAUGCGAUAAGUAAUGUGAAUUGCAGAAUUCAGUGAAUCAUCGAAUCUUUGAACGCACAUUGCGCCCUCUGGUAUUCCGGAGGGCAUGCCUGUUCGAGCGUCAUUUCAACCCUCAAGCCUGGCUUGGUGUUGGGGCACUGCUUCGAGAGAAGCAGGCCCUGAAAUCUAGUGGCGAGCUCGCUAGGACCCCGAGCGUAGUAGUUAUAUCUCGUUCUGGAAGGCCCUGGCGGCGCCCUGCCGUUAAACCCCCAACUUCUGAAAUUUUGACCUCGGAUCAGGUAGGAAUACCCGCUGAACUUAAGCAUAUCAUA
RNAcentral lists this ribosomal RNA (508 nucleotides) under Phomopsis sp. C7 MLB-2013. Its description in RNAcentral is "eukaryotic LSU rRNA". The stretch from base 147 to 300 matches the Rfam family "5.8S ribosomal RNA". Lineage: Eukaryota; Fungi; Ascomycota; Sordariomycetes; Diaporthales; Diaporthaceae. The record is from RNAcentral.